This 497-nucleotide ribosomal RNA is filed under the name uncultured bacterium. RNAcentral's name for it is "partial 16S ribosomal RNA". It matches the Rfam family "Bacterial small subunit ribosomal RNA", at positions 28 to 507 of the family's 1533-position model. The record is from RNAcentral.
GAUGAACGCUGGCGGCGUGCCUAAUACAUGCAAGUCGAGCGAACGGACGAGAAGCUUGCUUCUCUGAUGUUAGCGGCGGACGGGUGAGUAACACGUGGAUAACCUACCUAUAAGACUGGGAUAACUUCGGGAAACCGGAGCUAAUACCGGAUAAUAUUUUGAACCGCAUGGUUCAAAAGUGAAAGACGGUCUUGCUGUCACUUAUAGAUGGAUCCGCGCUGCAUUAGCUAGUUGGUAAGGUAACGGCUUACCAAGGCAACGAGGCAUAGCCGAACUGAGAGAGUGAUGACCCACACUGGAACUAAGACACCGUCCAAACCACUACGGGAGGCAGCAGUAGGGAAUCUUACGCAAUGGGCGAAAGCCUGACGGAGCAACGCCGCGUGAGUGAUGAAGGUCUUCGUAUCGUAAAACUCUGUUAUUAGGGAAGAACAUAUGUGUAAGUAACUGUGCACAUCUUGACGGUACCUAAUCAGAAAGCCACGGCUAACUACGUG